Molecule: ribosomal RNA, 253 nt
Filed under: uncultured bacterium
Lineage: Bacteria
Description: partial 16S ribosomal RNA
Rfam family: Bacterial small subunit ribosomal RNA
Source: RNAcentral
UACGGGGGGGGCAAGCGUUGUUCGGAAUUACUGGGCGUAAAGGGCUCGUAGGCGGCCAACUAAGUCAGACGUGAAAUGCCCCGGCUUACCCGGGGACCGGCAUCUCAUACUGUCUGGCUUGAGUAUGGGAGAGGAUGAGGGAAUUCCUGGUGUAGCGGUGAAAUGCGUAGAUAUCAGGAGGAACACCGGUGGCGAAAGCGCUCAUCUGGCCCAAUACUGACGCUGAAGCACGAAAGCUAGGGGAGCAAACGGG